Notechis scutatus (mainland tiger snake) is the source of this 184-nucleotide non-coding RNA. Lineage: Eukaryota; Metazoa; Chordata; Lepidosauria; Squamata; Elapidae. The record is from RefSeq and is a predicted model, not a curated record.
ACCUUCAUUUUUGAUUCUAGAUAUAUCCAGACGGCCUCUGUGGAACUUAAAAAUGGAUCAAGCUUUAUUACGAAUUCAUAAUGAAUUGCUCAUUGACAACUUGUCCAUUUAUUGGGUCUCAGAUUAUUGCUAUAAGUGUUUGGAACAGGAGCUGAUUUCUGUCCAGAUGAACAGAACAUCCAAA